GCUACACGAAGAACCUUACCUGGGUUUGACAUAUAGGUUGUAGGGAACUGAAAGGGAACCGACCCUUCGGGGAGGCCUAUACAGGUGUUGCAUGGCUGUCGUCAGCUCGUGUCGUGAGAUGUUCGGUUAAGUCCGCUAACGAGCGCAACCCUCGUCGUAUGUUAUAUGUGUCAUACGAGACUGCCGGUAAAAAGCCGGAGGAAGGUGAGGAUGAUGUCAAGUCAGCAUGACCUUUAUAUCCAGGGCUACACACACGCUACAAUGGUCUGUACAAUGGGUAGCCAAGCCGCGAGGCGGAGCCAAUCCUGAAAGCAGGCCUCAGUUCAGAUUGCAGUCUGCAACUCGACUGCAUGAAGCCGGAGUUGCUAGUAACCGCAGGUCAGCAAUACUGCGGUGAAUACGUCCCCGGGUCUU
Molecule: ribosomal RNA, 414 nt
Filed under: uncultured Anaerolineaceae bacterium
Lineage: Bacteria; Bacillati; Chloroflexota; Anaerolineae; Anaerolineales; Anaerolineaceae
Description: bacterial SSU rRNA
Rfam family: Bacterial small subunit ribosomal RNA
Source: RNAcentral